UAGAGGCAGGUUAUUUUUUUCCUACGCACCCGCUUCUCCUCUUAGUUUCGUUGAUGAGGACCGUCGUCGUCGAUCGGUCGAUGGGGACGAACGAAACGAAACGAAGGGGCAGCUCCUUCUUCUUCUACCCCCCGCACCCGCAGAGGGAACGCGACGAGCGGCGGCAGCAGGAGAGGCGGCGACGACGACGGGGCGUCGAUCGCCCUCGUCGGUUCCGUCUCGUAAGGGAUCCUUAGUAGGUCUUCCUGUAGUAAGUCUGCCAGUUGUUCGUAGGGUUACGGCCCACCUGCCGACCUGUGUUGGGGAUGAAGCGUUUGAUGUGAUAACUCGUUAAGUUCGUAUAGGACCCACACUUCGGUUGCGGAGGCCCAAACGAGCGACCACAAGGUUAGGUUUGGGUAGGUCUUAGUCACCUAGAGGGGUUCCUCAAACUGCGAUCUUGAGUUACCAGGUCAACGUCGUGUUAACCCUUGUAUGAACUAGUUCCAGUGACACCACGGACAACCCGGAAACGACGGCACCUUCGAGAGGUCCUAGCAAAGACAUAAGUAGAGUUGUACUCGCAGUGUGAAAGCCAGUUACUGGAUGACCGAACGACACCAAAAGACACACCAUCGCCAACAUUACCUCCUAUAGGAUAGUCGCGUACCGCGAUGAAGGCAGCGUCACCAUAGCAGUGACUCCUCACGCUAGGUAUGAAGCUAGUCUGACCAACGGUCGUAGGACCUACGCUCGGUCGAAUAGGAUGUGGUUUUACAGUUUCCUUUACGUUCCACGUCUUGGUUCACACCUUCCUUUUCUUCGUAAAGUCACAAUUACGCAUGUCUCAUGUAAGACUAGGGGUACUGUAGUACCGUCUCCAGAUGUUUUUACCGGGACAUCUUCAACGAAAGUGGCAAAUACUCCUGAAGCGUGUGAUGUUCAGUCCUCACAUGUUCGUGUAGUGUCCACCGCACUACCCUCCAGUGCGGCAGUUCAACUAACCAACCCCUUGGUCACUACGACCGCUCCUAAUGACCGAAGAACGUUUAGUCACCUUGUCUCCGACCCCACUACUGCCCAUGAAGUUCUAGUAUUCCCCGUUCUUACUUACACCGUAGCUUCUUCUACAAUGACGGCCAUACGGGAGCUGUUUCUUGUGCCGGUCUUUGUUACUACAGCGGAAACCUUGCCGGUAUGAAACUCGUCGCGGGACCAAUGUUUGUGCCAACUUCAAUCGACAAACGUACAGUUUACUUCGGUCAUUUAAUCGAAACUACCAAGGUCCUAUGACAUAAUACAUGUGAUCGCGUUUGCGACUAUACAACGACUUUGUUGUGGAACAAGUCUUUGUUUUCCCUCAUUAUUAUUAUGGUUGUUUUGGUAUUCCGACAGUAGAG
Molecule: ribosomal RNA, 1379 nt
Filed under: Triticum aestivum (bread wheat)
Lineage: Eukaryota; Viridiplantae; Streptophyta; Magnoliopsida; Poales; Poaceae
Description: partial small subunit ribosomal RNA
Source: RNAcentral